Molecule: ribosomal RNA, 439 nt
Filed under: uncultured bacterium
Lineage: Bacteria
Description: partial 16S ribosomal RNA
Rfam family: Bacterial small subunit ribosomal RNA
Source: RNAcentral
CUACGGGGCGCACCAGUGAGGAAUAUUGCACAAUGGGGGGAACCCCGAUGCAGCAACGCCGCGUGGAGGAUGACGCAUUUCGGUGUGUAAACUCCUUUUAUAUGUCAAGAAAAUGACGGUAGCAUAUGAAUAAGCACCGGCUAACUCCGUGCCAGCAGCCGCGGUAAUACGGAGGGUGCAAGCGUUACUCAGAACCACUGGGCGUAAAGGACGCGUAGGCGGGUUGGAAAGUCAGGUGUGAAAUCCUACAGCUUAACUGUAGAACUGCACUUGAAACUUCUAAUCUAGAGUAUGGGAGGGGGAGAUGGAAUUAGUGGUGUAGGGGUAAAAUCCGUAGAUAUCACUAGGAAUACCUAAAGCGAAGGCGAUCUCCUGGAACAUUACUGACGCUAAGGCGUGAAAGCGUGGGGAGCAAACAGGAUUAGAUACCCCCGUAGUC